GGCGGACGGGUGAGUAAUGCUUAGGAAUCUGCCUGUUAGUGGGGGACAACGUUCCGAAAGGAAUGCUAAUACCGCAUACGUCCUACGGGGGAAAGCAGGGGAUCUUCGGACCUUGCGCUAAUAGAUGAGCCUAAGUCGGAUUAGCUAGUUGGUGGGGUAAAGGCCUACCAAGGCGACGAUCUGUAGCGGGUCUGAGAGGAUGAUCCGCCACACUGGGACUGAGACACGGCCCAGACUCCUACGGGAGGCAGCAGUGGGGAAUAUUGGACAAUGGGCGGAAGCCUGAUCCAGCCAUGCCGCGUGUGUGAAGAAGGCCUUUUGGUUGUAAAGCACUUUAAGCGAGGAGGAGGCUCCUUUAGUUAAUACCUAAAGAGAGUGGACGUUACUCGCAAAAUAAGCACCGGCUAACUCUGUGCCAGCAGCCGCGGUAAUACAGAGGGUGCGAGCGUUAAUCGGAUUUACUGGGCGUAAAGCGUGCGUAGGCGGCUUUUUAAGUCGGAUGUGAAAUCCCUGAGCUUAACUUAGGAAUUGCAUUCGAUACUGGAAAGCUAGAGUAUGGGAGAGGAUGGUAGAAUUCCAGGUGUAGCGGUGAAAUGCGUAGAGAUCUGGAGGAAUACCGAUGGCGAAGGCAGCCAUCUGGCCUAAUACUGACGCUGAGGUACGAAAGCAUGGGGAGCAAACAGGAUUAGAUACCCUGGUAGUCCAUGCCGUAAACGAUGUCUACUAGCCGUUGGGGCCUUUGAGGCUUUAGUGGCGCAGCUAACGCGAUAAGUAGACCGCC
This 781-nucleotide ribosomal RNA is filed under the name Acinetobacter sp. A1b-31. RNAcentral's name for it is "bacterial SSU rRNA". It matches the Rfam family "Bacterial small subunit ribosomal RNA", at positions 97 to 873 of the family's 1533-position model. Lineage: Bacteria; Pseudomonadati; Pseudomonadota; Gammaproteobacteria; Moraxellales; Moraxellaceae. The record is from RNAcentral.